GCUAAAAUGUGUUGUCGAGCCCUUUGCGUGUUUCUGUGAUCAUGGUGAUUGAUAAUGAAUUAGUAAUUAGAAAUAAGACAAUACCACAAUGGCGAAGCGUCACAUUUUCUCAAGAUUUUAAAAAGUUGUUUCAAGACAACAUUUGAAAUGAGCAAAUAUGUGACGUCACAUAUUUCUGGUAGCCGGCUGCAGGCUUCGCUUUCUGCGUAGCCUGGCAUCAUACUAUUAUUAGUAUUACGAUCUAAUAACGUUAUUAGCUCCCGUGCCUCCAAAUUGCGAAGAGGACUGAAGAGACUCAGGAGCUAUAGUGCGGUUGGCUACCAGACAACUGCAUGCAGUACAUUGCAAUAUGAUACACCUUAAUAUAUCAUAUGCACCUCCUGAUUCAAAUCUUAUACUUUGUCUGUAUGUGAAUGUCCAGUGUAUUAGGCCAUCCGGUUACUUAUCGUCACCAUAACUUUAGACUUUGACCACAUGUUAUCUCACAAUUCAUACCUGUUUAGGUCUUUAACAUUAAGAUUCACAUGACACAGACAUUAAGCAACUUUAAAUAAAACGAUAUAUCUAACACCAUGAAAAGAAUCAUUAUAGGAUACAUGUAUAAGCACAACGUCACACACCAAAGAAGACACAACAACCAACAUAUACCAGACCGACGUCACAAACUAUGUUACCUACGGUCACUUGUUAACUUUUAGCUCAAGGCAUAAACUCGAAAUGACUAACAGCAACUUCAUGAACCGUCAAUCGUUCAGCGCUUUCCUCAAGAGGACACAGGUUUUAUUCGGUCAACCAAGGAGGUUCCGUAUCAAGAAUGUUUGAAUCAAUUAAGAAAACAGAAACAAACUAAUGCAAACGCAAAGCAAGCAAACCAACGGACUCGCCAACCUUAAUAUCUUAUGUCACGAAACCGGCAACGAAUAAAAUGGCCAUGACGGCAUGAGCCAAGAAAGACAAGAACUCGCGAAGUUGUAGCCUGUGCCUGCUACUCACUGUGCUAAGUUGGACGCUCAAUCUGCCACUACAAACUGUGAAAGGGGUACUACUUUGCCGUCCGAAUUUUGAUGACAAUGUUGAGCUGACAUUCUAGUUGAAGUAUGGACUUUUUUUUUUUAUAAAUAUUGGAGCUUGCCGUCAGCCGCGCCUAUACAUUGCUGUUGUUUGCCCAAAUCGAGGUGUAGGUAGGCUAGGAAGACUACAGUCCCGGAUAUAGACCCGUAUAAAGAAUGUUAAAAGCCUUUAACAGAUGACUCAGAGCAUGUGAUCGAUUCAUUUGCCACCCAAAAUGCAUGCAAAGGAGGCGUGUUAGAACGCAAGGUAUGACUGAUAUAAGGUGGAAAGACAAGCUAGGCCUCAUUCCGUCUCAGUACAAACAGCACAUGCCAUGACAGCGAGGUCCUAACGAGUCCCUCCAAUUUGUCACUGAGGAAGGCCUUGCGGAGUCUAGUGAAGUUCCUUGGACAUCUUUGGAGUCUCCACUAAGUUGAUCUCCUGAAAACUUGAAUUGGAAGGGAAAUGACAGAGUGACGUGAAAUGUAAAAGAUACGCACCCUGAACAAAGCGAAAAGGGCUGGUAACCUCCGAACCGAACACACGUCACAACUUCCGCGCAUCUCUGGACAAGGGCGGGGUUUGUAGACUGCUACAACUGAGCACAGGGGUGGACUUGCUACAUUAAAUCGACUAUGCUAUCAAAUUAUCGUGGUCCUCAUAUUCCUUCACAUUUUU
Long non-coding RNA from Branchiostoma floridae (Florida lancelet), 1728 nucleotides. RefSeq lists it as uncharacterized. The record is from RefSeq and is a predicted model, not a curated record. The transcript is spliced from 3 exons. NCBI's taxonomy places the organism in Eukaryota, Metazoa, Chordata, Leptocardii, Amphioxiformes, Branchiostomatidae.